RNAcentral lists this transfer RNA (71 nucleotides) under Camelus bactrianus (Bactrian camel). It matches the Rfam family "tRNA". From Rfam's summary of the family: Transfer RNA (tRNA) molecules are approximately 80 nucleotides in length. Their secondary structure includes four short double-helical elements and three loops (D, anti-codon, and T loops). Further hydrogen bonds mediate the characteristic L-shaped molecular structure. tRNAs have two regions of fundamental functional importance: the anti-codon, which is responsible for specific mRNA codon recognition, and the 3' end, to which the tRNAs corresponding amino acid is attached (by aminoacyl-tRNA synthetases). tRNAs cope with the degeneracy of the genetic code in two manners: having more than one tRNA (with a specific anti-codon) for a particular amino acid; and 'wobble' base-pairing, i.e. permitting non-standard base-pairing at the 3rd anti-codon position. RNAcentral also lists the same sequence under 2 other names. The record is from Rfam by way of RNAcentral. Lineage: Eukaryota; Metazoa; Chordata; Mammalia; Artiodactyla; Camelidae.
GAGGCUAUAGCUCAGAGGUAGAGCCCAGGCUUAGCAUGCAUGAGGUCCUGGGUUCAAUCCCCAGGACCUCC